AUUUACUGUGAACUGUAUUAUUAUUUGACAUUUGAGGGAUGUUCCAAUGUUAUAAGGAUAGACAUUGGAAAUGUUAACCGAGUCAUAAUCAGGUUUAGGCCUGGUAUCCUAUUAUUAUUUACCAAAUGAAUUCAGAAUUAAUAUUGUAACAUAGACCUAAAAAAUCUAUAAAACAACUUUUAACAACGGAUCUCUUGGUUCUCGCAUCGAUGAAGAACGUAGCAAAGUGCGAUAACUAGUGUGAAUUGCAUAUUCAGUGAAUCAUCGAGUCUUUGAACGCAACUUGCGCUCAUUGGUAUUCCAAUGAGCACGCCUGUUUCAGUAUCAAAACAAACCCUCUAUCCAACUUUUGUUGUAUAGGAUUAUUGGGGGCCUCUCGAUCUGUAUAGAUCUUGAAAUCCCUGAAAUUUACUAAGGCCUGAACUUGUUUAAAUGCCUGAACUUUUUUUUAAUAUAAAGGAAAGCUCUUGUAAUUGACUUUGAUGGGGCCUCCCAAAUAAAUCUUUUUUAAAUUUGAUCUGAAAUCAGGCGGGAUUACCCGCUGAACUUAAGCAUAUC
Molecule: ribosomal RNA, 558 nt
Filed under: Mucor sp. BJ15
Lineage: Eukaryota; Fungi; Mucoromycota; Mucoromycetes; Mucorales; Mucoraceae
Description: eukaryotic LSU rRNA
Rfam family: 5.8S ribosomal RNA (bases 175-327)
Source: RNAcentral